AGCUUUGCACAGUGGCAGUAUCAUAGCCAGUGAGGUUUAUCCAAGGCGUGAUUAUCACUAAUUGAAAAAUUUUCCCAAUACACCACCAUGAGAUUUGAAAUAUAGUCGGCGUUGGCAAUUUUUGACAGUCUCUACAGAGA
This 140-nucleotide small nuclear RNA is filed under the name Aotus nancymaae (Ma's night monkey). RNAcentral's name for it is "U4 spliceosomal RNA (ENSANAG00000010943.1)". It matches the Rfam family "U4 spliceosomal RNA". Rfam says of the family: U4 small nuclear RNA (U4 snRNA) is a component of the major U2-dependent spliceosome. The structure of U4 snRNA from yeast and human has been reported. U4 snRNA presents a k-turn RNA motif in the 5p-SL related to recognition of Snu13 protein. Lineage: Eukaryota; Metazoa; Chordata; Mammalia; Primates; Aotidae. The record is from Rfam by way of RNAcentral.